GUUGCGCAGCAGCUGUGCCCGGCAGUCUAGAGGCGCAGAAGAGGAAGCCAUCGCCUGGCCCCGGCUCUCUGGACCUUGUCUCGCUCGGGAGCGCAAACAGCGGCAGCCAGAGAACUGUUUUAAUCAUGGACAAACAAAACCCACAGAUGAAUGCUUCUCACCCGGAAACAAACUUGCCAGUUGGGUAUCCUCCUCAGUAUCCACCGACAGCAUUCCAAGGACCUCCAGGAUAUAGUGGCUACCCUGGGCCCCAGGUCAGCUACCCACCCCCACCAGCCGGCCAUUCAGGUCCUGGCCCAGCUGGCUUUCCUGUCCCAAAUCAGCCAGUGUAUAAUCAGCCAGUAUAUAAUCAGCCAGUUGGAGCUGCAGGGGUACCAUGGAUGCCAGCGCCACAGCCUCCAUUAAACUGUCCACCUGGAUUAGAAUAUUUAAGUCAGAUAGAUCAGAUACUGAUUCAUCAGCAAAUUGAACUUCUGGAAGUUUUAACAGGUUUUGAAACUAAUAACAAAUAUGAAAUUAAGAACAGCUUUGGACAGAGGGUUUACUUUGCAGCGGAAGAUACUGAUUGCUGUACCCGAAAUUGCUGUGGGCCAUCUAGACCUUUUACCUUGAGGAUUAUUGAUAAUAUGGGUCAAGAAGUCAUAACUCUGGAGAGACCACUAAGAUGUAGCAGCUGUUGUUGUCCCUGCUGCCUUCAGGAGGUCUGUGAUCAAUUACCAGGGCACUUUGUAAAAUAGUUCAGCAAGAAUUUCUGCCCUGUCAUUGAACCUUUCAUCGAACCUAGGCAUUAUGAUUAUUACAUUUACAUAUAUUAUUU
Molecule: small RNA, 817 nt
Filed under: Pan troglodytes (chimpanzee)
Lineage: Eukaryota; Metazoa; Chordata; Mammalia; Primates; Hominidae
Description: retained intron
Source: RNAcentral